ACCCACAUGUAAAAUUAUUUGUACAUGUACAUAUACACUCCCCCCCCCCCCAAUACAGAGAAACUUAUUUUACAUGACAAUAGUUCAAUCAGUCAUUCUAUCGUAUUAGAAUAUAAAAAUUAAUUAAAGGAUAAAUUUUUAUAAUAUUUAGUUAUUACAAUUAAAACAAUAAGACAUAAGUAUAAUGUACGAUUAAUGAAUAACUAAUACUAAUAAAUUAAUUCAAAUUUUUAAUUCAAAACUUACAAGAAAAAAAUUGUCAAGUGCUGUUUGUAGACCGUUUAAUUACUUCAAACUUUAGAGUAACACAAUUUAAGAAUUGUAAACGUUUUGAUGUAUUUCUUAGUCAUUUUUAAUAUACAGUUUAAUAUACAAUAUAUAUAUAUAAUUUUAAAAUUAGGACAAACUUUAUUAAACUUUCAAGUGUUUGCAAAAACGAUAAGAAUAUGCAAUGUUACUUUAAGACCAUACGGUAUAAGUGUUAUUGACAUUUUGACAAAAAUAUGAUGAAGAAAUAGGCGAAAAUGCUUUAUAUGAGUUUUGUUGUAUCUUUGCUAUUCAGAUUGGCUUAGUGGACCUCUUGAUAUUUUUAGAAAUCAUUCCGGAUUAUAUGAUUAUUGAUUAGUCAUUCUGCUGGUGAACUCGGUUGCGUCUACGCUGAUAAAUCAUUGAACGAACCAUUUUGUCAGUAUACUUUAUAGGUUUGGCCUGUGUCGAAGGAAAAGUAAUUUGUAGCUCGAGGGCACUGUUGAUCUUAAUUACGGAAGCCUAAAAAAUAUGUGUUCAACGGAUAUUGAAAUAAUAUGUCGCAAUAAUGGGAAUAGCAGCGUUGUCUGUAGUCCCACAGAAUCCACACAGAAAUUUAUGAAAAAAUUGCAGAACAUACGUUUCGGCUAUGGGUUUUAGUCAUCUUCAGUGUACAUAAAAAAUUAACAAAUGCGAUUGGUCAAUUCCAAUGAAAUAACCGACCGGUUAAGGUAACCGGAGUUGGUGAAAUCGGCCCUCAAUAGUUAUGACAUAUUAUAACCAAACGUCCAAUGUGUUAGUUUGCCGAAAAAUCGCUAUGGAACAAAGAGCGAAUAUCAAGUUUUGUUUUAAGUUGGGCAAAACUGCUUAAGAAACAUUCGAUGAAAAACGUUUACGGUGACCAGUGUCUAUCCCGUGCACAAGUAUUUCGCUGGUUUGCUAGAUUUCGUGAUGGUCGUGAAGACCUUGAAGAUGAUGAACGCUCACCGAAGCCGAGAACCUCGAGGAAUAAAAAAAACGUUGAGAAAGUCAGCCAAAUUCUGCGCUCUGACAGUUGUGUGUCCGCGAGACUUAUUAAGGAGAUGACUGGCAUUCCUAAGAGUGUGAUUCAUCGCAUUCUGAUCAAGGAUUUGGGAAAGAGAAAGAUCUGCGCACGAUUUGUUCCACAUCGUCACACAAAUGUGUAAUUGUACCCGAGUUUUUGGCCAAAAAACGCAUCAUAAAGGUCGACCACCGCGACCGUGCGACUUCUGGCUAUUUCCUAAACUCAAAUUAGCGAUGAAGAAGAACACCUACCCCAAUUAUUCCUAAAUUAUA
This 1563-nucleotide unclassified non-coding RNA is filed under the name Monomorium pharaonis (pharaoh ant). RNAcentral describes it as "fatty acid synthase-like, transcript variant X1". The record is from RNAcentral. Lineage: Eukaryota; Metazoa; Arthropoda; Insecta; Hymenoptera; Formicidae.